Molecule: ribosomal RNA, 458 nt
Filed under: uncultured Pseudomonas sp.
Lineage: Bacteria; Pseudomonadati; Pseudomonadota; Gammaproteobacteria; Pseudomonadales; Pseudomonadaceae
Description: bacterial SSU rRNA
Rfam family: Bacterial small subunit ribosomal RNA
Source: RNAcentral
ACAAGCGUGGAGCAUGUGGUUUAAUUCGAAGCAACGCGAAGAACCUUUACCAGGCCUUGACAUGCAGAGAACUUUCCAGAGAUGGAUUGGUGCCUUCGGGAACUCUGACACAGGUGCUGCAUGGCUGUCGUCAGCUCGUGUCGUGAGAUGAUGGGUUAAGUCCCGUAACGAGCGCAACCCUUGUCCUUAGUUACCAGCACGUUAUGGUGGGCACUCUAAGGAGACUGCCGGUGACAAACCGGAGGAAGGUGGGGAUGACGUCAAGUCAUCAUGGCCCUUACGGCCUGGGCUACACACGUGCUACAAUGGUCGGUACAAAGGGUUGCCAAGCCGCGAGGUGGAGCUAAUCCCAUAAAACCGAUCGUAGUCCGGAUCGCAGUCUGCAACUCGACUGCGUGAAGUCGGAAUCGCUAGUAAUCGUGAAUCAGAAUGUCACGGUGAAUACGUUCCCGGGCCUU